AUGCCCGAUUUGCAUUCGGUAUA
This 23-nucleotide non-coding RNA is filed under the name Arabidopsis thaliana (thale cress). The record is from RNAcentral. Lineage: Eukaryota; Viridiplantae; Streptophyta; Magnoliopsida; Brassicales; Brassicaceae.